GAGGGUAUAGGUCAGCAGUAGAGCAUGUGUUUAGCAUACACGAGGUCCUGGGUUCAAUCCCUAGUACCUCCA
Molecule: transfer RNA, 72 nt
Filed under: Camelus bactrianus (Bactrian camel)
Lineage: Eukaryota; Metazoa; Chordata; Mammalia; Artiodactyla; Camelidae
Also listed under: 2 other names
Rfam family: tRNA
About the family: Transfer RNA (tRNA) molecules are approximately 80 nucleotides in length. Their secondary structure includes four short double-helical elements and three loops (D, anti-codon, and T loops). Further hydrogen bonds mediate the characteristic L-shaped molecular structure. tRNAs have two regions of fundamental functional importance: the anti-codon, which is responsible for specific mRNA codon recognition, and the 3' end, to which the tRNAs corresponding amino acid is attached (by aminoacyl-tRNA synthetases). tRNAs cope with the degeneracy of the genetic code in two manners: having more than one tRNA (with a specific anti-codon) for a particular amino acid; and 'wobble' base-pairing, i.e. permitting non-standard base-pairing at the 3rd anti-codon position.
Source: Rfam by way of RNAcentral